RNAcentral lists this ribosomal RNA (253 nucleotides) under uncultured bacterium. RNAcentral describes it as "partial 16S ribosomal RNA". It matches the Rfam family "Bacterial small subunit ribosomal RNA", at positions 524 to 776 of the family's 1533-position model. The record is from RNAcentral.
UACGAAGGGGGCUAGCGUUGCUCGGAAUUCCUGGGCGUAAAGCGCACGUAGGCGGCUUUCUAAGUCGGGGGUGAAAUCCUGGAGCUCAACUCCAGAACUGCCUUUGAUACUGAGGAUCUUGAGUUCGGGAGAGGUGAGUGGAACUGCGAGUGUAGAGGUGAAAUUCGUAGAUAUUCGCAAGAACACCAGUGGCGAAGGCGGCUCACUGGCCCGAUACUGACGCUGAGGCACGAAAGCGUGGGGAGCAAACAGG